CCGACACAGGUGGAUGAGGAGAGAAUCCUAAGGCCGGCGGGAGAAGCAUUGUUAAGGAACUCGGCAAAAUGACCCCGUAACUUCGGGAGAAGGGGUGCUCCAGAGAUGGAGCCGCAGAGAACUGGCCCAAGCAACUGUUUAGCAAAAACACAGGUCUAUGCAAAACCGAAAGGUGAGGUAUAUGGGCUGACGCCUGCCCGGUGCUGGAAGGUUAAGAGGAGAUGUUAAUCGCAAGGUGAAGCAUUGAAUUUAAGCCCCAGUAAACGGCGGCCGUAACUAUAACGGUCCUAAGGUAGCGAAAUUCCUUGUCGGGUAAGUUCCGACCCGCACGAAAGGCGUAAUGAUUUGGGCACUGUCUCGACAAUGCACCCGGUGAAAUUGAAAUACCAGUGAAGAUGCUGGUUACCUGCGCCAGGACGGAAAGACCCCAUGGAGCUUUACUCUAGCUUGAUACUGGGGUUCGGUAUUGCAUGUACAGGAUAGGUGGGAGACUGAGAAGAUGUGUCGCCAGAUGCAUCAGAGUCGAUGUUGGGAUACCACCCCUGCAGUACUGGGCUUCUAACCUGCAGCCGUGACCCGGCUGGGGGACAAUGUCAGGUGGGGAGUUUGACUGGGGCGGUCGCCUCCGAAAGAGUAUCGGAGGCGCUCAAAGGUUCCCUCAGAAUGGUUGGAAACCAUUCGAAGAGCGCAAAGGCAGAAGGGAGCUUGACUGCGACACCGACGGGUGGAGCAGGUACGAAAGUAGGACUUAGUGAUCCGGUGGUAUGAAAGUGGGAUUGCCAUCGCUCAACGGAUAAAAGCUACCCUGGGGAUAACAGGCUUAUCACUCCCAAGAGUUCACAUCGACGGAGUGGUUUGGCACCUCGAUGUCGGCUCAUCGCAUCCUGGGGCUGUAGUAGGUCCCAAGGGUUGGGCUGUUCGCCCAUUAAAGCGGUACGCGAGCUGGGUUCAGAACGUCGUGAGACAGUUCGGUCCCUAUCCGGCGUGGGCGUAGGAUAUCUGAGAGGAGCUGUCCUUAGUACGAGAGGACCGGGAUGGACUGACCUCUGGUGCACCGGUUGCAUUGCCAAAUGCAUAGCCGGGUAGCCAAGUCGGGACGGGAUAAACGCUGAAGGCAUCUAAGCGUGAAGCCCCCCUCAAGAUGAGAUAUCCCAUAACGUAAGUUAGUAAGACCCCUUGAAGACGACGAGGUAGAUAGGCAGAAGGUGGAAGUGUGGUGACAUAUGGAGCUGAUCUGUACUAAUAGGUCGAGGGCUUAACCAA
Molecule: ribosomal RNA, 1263 nt
Filed under: Ruminococcus sp. A254.MGS-254
Lineage: Bacteria; Bacillati; Bacillota; Clostridia; Eubacteriales; Oscillospiraceae
Description: bacterial LSU rRNA
Rfam family: Bacterial large subunit ribosomal RNA
Source: RNAcentral